RNAcentral lists this long non-coding RNA (325 nucleotides) under Mytilus galloprovincialis (Mediterranean mussel). The record is from RNAcentral. Lineage: Eukaryota; Metazoa; Mollusca; Bivalvia; Mytilida; Mytilidae.
UGAAUAUGUCAUGUCUUAGUGAAUCGUAAAACAACAUCCUAUUGAAUAUGUCAUAUAGAACUUCAUAAAACAACAACCUACUGGAUUUGUCAUGUCUUAGUGCCUCAUAAAACAACCGACUGGAUAUGUCAUGUCUUAGUACUUCAUAAAACAUCCUAUUGGAUAUUUCUUAUCAUAGAACUUCAUUAAACAACAUCCUGUUGGAUUUGUCAUGUCUCAGUACUUCAUAAAACAACAAACUACUAGAUAUGUCAUGUCUCAGUACUUCAUAAAACAACAAACCACUAGAUAUGUCAUGUCUCACCUUCAUAAAACAACAACAUAC